Molecule: long non-coding RNA, 658 nt
Filed under: Gossypium barbadense (sea-island cotton)
Lineage: Eukaryota; Viridiplantae; Streptophyta; Magnoliopsida; Malvales; Malvaceae
Description: long non-coding RNA (GBAR_LNC018532)
Source: RNAcentral
UUAUAUCUAAAUAUUAAGUAUAUCUAAGCGAGUCUAUAUAUCUAAUAGAUAUCUAAUAAGUGCAAGGAAUGUAGAAUUAAAUAAAAGGAUUUGCCCACCUUUUUAAAUCAAAUAAAAUAGGUGUAUAUGAUAAGAUAAUCCACUUUCUUUAUUAUCUUACUUUAUUCUUAAUUUUCUUAUUAUUCUAUUGUUCUUGUCUUCUAAUUUGAAUUUUUGAAUUUAAUAAAGAAAGAGUUUAUUACAAAUUGUCGAAAGAUUCGAUUCGUUAGAAUCCGAUCCAAGAACAGGGAUUAUUAGUAAAAAUAGAAUUUUUCGGAGAUACAAAAAGAUGCAAAACUCUAUAUUUCUAUUAUAUUUUUUCUCUAUUUAAAUUAUAUAUACAUAUGCAAUAGAGGAAGAUAAAAUUUAUUUUAUUUGUCUCUCCAAAUUCGAAUUUCAUUUCGCAGAAGGAAAAAUUCGCUUUUUAUCUUGUUGCUAGAGGUUUACUCAUUAGUAAUAUCGGAUAAUGAUAAUAAUAAUUAUCCACAUAAUUUGUUUUUCGACAAUUCCUUUUUUUGUCACAAAGUCAAAGCCCAUUACGCGGGCUUUGACUUUGAUUCCGAUAAACUAACUAACUACCUUUUCACUAAAAAUAAAAACAUUUCACUUAAGAAUCUAC